ACCUGCUAGCCGCAGUAUUUUGACUGUGCAAAGGUAGCAUAAUCAUUUGUCUUUUAAUUGAAGGCUGGAAUGAAUGGUAAAACGAGAAAUUUCCUGUUUUUGAAUUUGACGUAUAAAUGCAAAGGUUUAUAUAUUCUUAGUGGACGAUCAGACCCUAUGGAGCUUUUUGAUUGGGGCGAUCAAGUAUGAUCCUUUUGGUGGAUUAAAAGACUAAGUUACCCUAGGGAUAACAGCGUUAUUUUUCUAAAGAGACCUUAUCGAUAGAGAAGUUUGCGACCUCGAUGUUGGAUUAAAGAAGCAGUAAGAGGUAGAUUUUUUACUAGAGAGUCUGUUCGACUUUUAAAUCUUU
Molecule: ribosomal RNA, 349 nt
Filed under: Graptoleberis testudinaria
Lineage: Eukaryota; Metazoa; Arthropoda; Branchiopoda; Diplostraca; Chydoridae
Description: partial 16S ribosomal RNA
Rfam family: Bacterial large subunit ribosomal RNA
Source: RNAcentral